AACGCAUCUUGCGCUCCUUGGUAUUCCAAGGAGCAUGCCUGUUUGAGUGUCAUUAAAUUCUCAACCUUUCUGGCUUUUUGUUAAGGUGGAUAGGCUUGGAAUUGGGAGUUUGCAGGCUUCUGUUACAAGAAGUUGGCUCUCCUUAAAUGCAUUAGCAGAACUCAUGUUGACCAGCUCUGGUGUGAUAAUUAUCUACAUCAUUGUGUGAUACAGUUAUAGUUUAGCUUACAAACAGUUCCUCUAAGGAACAAUUCUUGACAAUUUGGCCUCAAAUCAGGUAGGACUACCCGCUGAACUUAA
RNAcentral lists this unclassified non-coding RNA (300 nucleotides) under uncultured fungus. Its description in RNAcentral is "sequence contains ITS2". The stretch from base 1 to 52 matches the Rfam family "5.8S ribosomal RNA", at positions 103 to 154 of the family's 154-position model. Lineage: Eukaryota; Fungi. The record is from RNAcentral.